UCUGGUUCAGAACGAACGCUGGCGGCGUGCUUAACACAUGCAAGUCGAACGCGAAAGGGACUUCGGUCCUGAGUAAAGUGGCGCACGGGUGAGUAACGCGUAGAUAACCUGUCUUCAUGUCUGGAAUAAUACGCCGAAAGGGGUACUAAUACCGGAUAUUCUUGCUUUUCAUAAGUUAUGCAAGCAAAGGUGGCCUCUGCAUAUGCUACUGCAUGAAGAGGGGUCUGCGUACCAUUAGCUAGUAGGUGGGGUAAUGGCCUACCUAGGCGACGAUGGUUAGCGGGUCUGAGAGGAUGAUCCGCCACACUGGCACUGGAACACGGGCCAGACUCCUACGGGAGGCAGCAGUGAGGAAUAUUGCGCAAUGGGGGAAACCCUGACGCAGCGACGCCGCGUGAGUGAGGAAGGCCUUCGGGUCGUAAAGCUCUGUCAAGAGGAAAGAAGUGUACAAUGGCUAAUACCUGUUGUAUUUGACGGUACCUCUAAAGGAAGCACCGGCUAACUCCGUGCCAGCCGCCGC
This 520-nucleotide ribosomal RNA is filed under the name uncultured bacterium. RNAcentral's name for it is "bacterial SSU rRNA". It matches the Rfam family "Bacterial small subunit ribosomal RNA", at positions 18 to 518 of the family's 1533-position model. The record is from RNAcentral.